ACAUUUUCCUUUAAAUAAUCCCCGCCCAGCUGGCAACUUACUUGCUUUUUUCUUCCUUGCUGUCAUUGAGAGAAGACAAAAUGGUUCCUCCGGUGCCAGUGUCCCCUUUGAUAAAGUUCACCAGAUAUUCAGCAUUACUGCUUGGAAUAGUGUAUGGAAGUAGACGACUUGCAUAUUUAAAACCAAUUGCUGAAGAGGAAAGGAAGAUAGAAUUAGAGGAGAAAACCAAGCGAGAGGAAGCAGAACGCAUAGCAAAAGAGCUGGCAGCAGCCAAUGAAGACACUAUUUUGAAAUAAUCUGUCCAUAUGUGAACAUGGUGCACAAGUAUGACAUUGAAAGUAAACUGAGACCCAUUCAUAUUUUACGGCUUUCGCUUAAAAAUUCCUUUUGUUAAUGUGUUGGUUUAUUGCUGUAAAUCCAAUUUUAUAUGCUAAGCAUAUAAUUCAAAUAAAAUGGUAAAAUGUC
This is a long non-coding RNA of Bombina bombina (fire-bellied toad), 465 nucleotides long. RefSeq lists it as uncharacterized. Lineage: Eukaryota; Metazoa; Chordata; Amphibia; Anura; Bombinatoridae. The transcript has 4 exons. The record is from RefSeq and is a predicted model, not a curated record.